GGGGAGGGUGGGAACAAGAUGGAAGUUGGUAUACUUAAACAUUAUUUUAAUUCAUUUGUCAUCAUCCAGAAAAUGUGGUGUUUGGGCAAUUUUGAAAGUGUUCUAAUAGCUCUCUUUAUUCCUUUUCAUAGAAAUUAACAAUUAAUCAUGAAAGCUGUAUUGUAGGAGCCCGCAAUGAAGCCUGCUUCCUUUAUACCUGUGUUGGUUUGAUGGGGCAGCUUUAAGUUGGAAGCUCUAAAUAAAGCUGCCAUACUUAGCUAUUGUAUACCUCUUCACAUCUAGUAAGUUUCCGAAGCAUUCUCCUCCCCCUCCUCCUUCUCCUCCGUGCCCUCUUUCAUUCUCCCUGGCUCUGUGUGUGUGUGUGUGUGUGUGUGUGUGUGUGUGUGUGUCAGUCUCACACCUAGCCAGAGUCAAAGGAUUCUUAAUAAGAAGCAAUCGAAAGCAAUCCUCUCUGCUGGCCUUACAUAAGAACCACACAGCAGCCGGUCUCCUGAGCCAUCCCUGUCACAUUCUCCUGUCUGCUGAAGACAGGAACAUCACCGAGAGUUGCUGGGAGAAGAAUGACUCACAGGUGAUACCCGCCACACACGUUAUCCUCAAGGUUGGAAAUAACCACCAAUAAAGGAGCCAGUCAAGAGAGUCCAAGGUAAACUAGAAAGCAAGUGGCCAGUAAAUCCGAAGACCAGAAGCUUCCAAGGUGGGGGAGGCUCAUGAUCCAGAGCCCCAAACGAUUACCUGACUUGCAAGCAAGCAACCAUUGAGACCCAGGAUGAAGUCAGGAAUGGACAUGCCACAACGACAGCCCAUAGGAAUGGACAAUCCACGACAGCCCAUAGGGUUGGACAUGCCACAACGACAGCCCAUAGGAAUGGACAUGCCACGACAGCCCAUAGGAAUGGACAUGCCACGACGGCGGCCCAUAGGAAUGGACAUGCCACGACGAAACCCCUUCACCUUGCUGAUCUCUAACUCAAAGCCACUCUGCUCCAGGUGAAGCCUCUGCCUUCACCUCUGGAUAAGGAUUCCAUACUUGCAUCUUUAAGCUAGUUCGUGGGCAUCUCUACGGAAGCCAUCCGCAGGCAUCUUACAGACACAAGAUCAG
This 1102-nucleotide long non-coding RNA is filed under the name Mus musculus (house mouse). RNAcentral describes it as "RIKEN cDNA C730036E19 gene". The record is from RNAcentral. Lineage: Eukaryota; Metazoa; Chordata; Mammalia; Rodentia; Muridae.